UUUUUCUUCUUUCACAUGCAACUUUUUCGUAAAGUGAGCAGAGCCCAGAGACAGCAAGCAGAUUAGUGACGAAUGUAAGGCGGUUACUUGAGGGGCAAAGGAAAAUACGGGUGUCGAAAGGAAAUUACUGAGAAAAAUAAAGGAUCGUAAAUAUUAAUAAUUUAACGUUUUUGAGGCAUUUGAACGCGUUGAAAAAAAGUCCUCUCUCGAUGAACAAAACUACCACUUUAUAAGGAUCUCGUCAUGCCCGUCCUAUCGUAUGGCGCAGAAGCUUGGACGAUAACAGCAUACGAUGAGACGUCACUUGGAAUGUUUGAAAGAAAGAUUCUGCGGAAGAUUUUUGGCGCAGCGAAUGAAAAUUCAGCACCUUUGUUGGUUGGGCCAAUGUAUACAAACGCUCCGACUCUGAAAGUAUUCGAUGCAGUGCACGCUGGUGUUAGCAGAGGAAGACGAAAGCCUCAUCUGCGUUGGAAAUAUCAGGUGGAAGCACCGGUUAGCUCGAUAAACAAACGACUGGCGUGCUAUGUUAAGCUCGCGUAAACGAUUAUCGCGCCAAUCAAGAAGAAAAUGAAGCAUUGAAAUACAUACUGUACGCGAAUGCCCAAAUAAAUGAACUCAAAGAUUAUAUUA
This is a long non-coding RNA of Anastrepha obliqua, 630 nucleotides long. RefSeq lists it as uncharacterized. The transcript is spliced from 2 exons. Lineage: Eukaryota; Metazoa; Arthropoda; Insecta; Diptera; Tephritidae. The record is from RefSeq and is a predicted model, not a curated record.